This 650-nucleotide ribosomal RNA is filed under the name uncultured organism. RNAcentral describes it as "bacterial SSU rRNA". It matches the Rfam family "Bacterial small subunit ribosomal RNA", at positions 23 to 693 of the family's 1533-position model. The record is from RNAcentral.
CUCAGGAUGAACGCUGGCGGCGUGCCUGACACAUGCAAGUCGAGCGAUGAGGCUCCCUUCGGGGAGUACAUCAGCGGCGAACGGGUGAGUAACACGUAGGUGACCUGCCCCGAAGACGGGGAUAACUUCUGGAAACAGAGGCUAAUACUCGAUGCACUCAAUAGUUCGUUCUAUUGAGUAAAGCUUAGGCGCUUUGGGAUGGGCCUGCGGUCCAUCAGCUAGUUGGUAGGGUAAUGGCCUACCAAGGCGAAGACGGAUAGGGGGCGUGAGAGCGCGACCCCCCACACUGGCACUGAGACACGGGCCAGACUCCUACGGGAGGCAGCAGUGAGGGAUAUUGCGCAAUGGACGGAAGUCUGACGCAGCGACGCCGCGUGGGUGAUGAAGGCCUUCGGGUUGUAAAGCCCUUUUAUGGGGGAAGAGAAAGGACGGUACCCCAUGAAUAAGCCCCGGCUAACUACGUGCCAGCAGCCGCGGUAAAACGUAGGGGGCAAGCGUUAUCCGGAUUUACUGGGCGUAAAGAGCGUCGAGGCGGUUCUGUAAGUUGGGCGUGAAAGCCCCGGGCUCAACCCGGGGAUGUCGUUCAAUACUGCAGGGCUUGAGGGCAGCAGAGGGAGGUGGAAUUCCCGGUGUAGCGGUGAAAUGCGUAG